AGAGGACCGGCUGGAAGACUCCAGAAGUACAGUAUGCGUCUGCCCCCUAGCGUAAGUCUUUCAUCGGCCUGAAAAAAAUCCAACUUUCAAAGAAACGCUGCUCUUAAAGGGAAAGGGACGUGGGGGGAGGACGUAGGCAAAGCGAGACGGGGGGAGGCAAGCAACUCCUAAACUUCUGUACGUUUAUAAUAUGAUUAAUUCCUCCGGAUUGCCAGUUAAGGAGCUAUAUCAUUUUAAAAAUAAAAUAAAAUAACAUCUUUUUGUGCUCCGGACUUGCAAACUUCCGAGAAAAUUGUGAUUUUUUUUUUUUAAGGGAGGAGGCGACAUAGGAUGGAUAAGGAAUCCCCCCGCCGGUCUAAUAGGGAGAAGCGAGUGUGAGCGAGUGAAUGUGCGUGCGUGCGUAUUUCUCGCGCUAGGGAAAGUCUAGAGCUCUUCCACGCGGCUUUUUUGUUUUUUUUAAGUGACAUCAGCCUGAAGAUUAUUAAUCCCCCCCCCACUCCCCAACUUCCAACAAUUAAAAGGAACAAACAAAACUUUGCGCCUGGAAACCUGGAUUUGGCAACAGAUAUCCCCUCUGGCAAUGGAAUUCCUGAGGAUGGUUCUAAUGGAAAGUGCCACGUGACAGUGCCACAUGUUUUCUAGAAAAAAGGAAGAAAGCAAGCACAAAGAACUGUUGACAGACUUGCCCAGGGGAGCAUUUUCUCCACAUGGUAUAGAAAUCUGCCCCGCCUUCAUGUGCAGAAGGUAACGUUUGCAUAGGUUACACAUCUUUGUGUAUGUGUGCAUGUAGAGGAGAAAGACUGCAUGAAUCACAUUUGUGGACCAUAAAGGCAUAUGCAAAGAACACAUGAGGCCCAUGCAGAUGUUCAGAAUCCAUGGUAAUGAAGGCAUGGGGAGAAGGGAUUGUGCCUUUUGCGCAAGUUCCUGGUGAGCACGUAUUUGUCCGAAAGCCUGACUGCUGCACUAAAUGCACACAAGCUCUCUCUGAGCAACCAAGACCUUGCAGAAGGCAGUGCCCUCAGUUGCACAUAUAGUAAGACAUUAUGUGGAUGCAGGGUGUGUCACCCCAUUCACCUCACAUGCAUAAGAACCUAAGAAGAGUCUGCUGGACUAAUCUAGUCCAGCCAAUGACUAGUCUAGGUCCAGCAUCCUGUUCUCACAGUGGCCUGUGGGAAAUCAGCACGCAGGACCUGACUAGGUGAUCUUGGGCUGGUCACUACCUCUCUGCUUAACCUACCUCAUAGGGUUGUUGUACAGGUGAAAAAUAAAUGGGAGGGAAGAACCAUGUACACUACUUUGAGCUCAUUAAAGGAAAUGUGGCAUAUAGCUGUGAUUCACAAAUAAAAGGAAAAGAGCCUUCAGCAAUGAGACCACACAUUGCUCAUUGGUGUGAUGGGUGUUUAUGCAAGUGUCCCUAGUUUCUUAAGUAAAAUCCCCAUUGAGCACAGAGGGAUUUAUUUCAACAUAAACAUGCAGUGCAUCAGGCUACCUAAGACCAGAAGAAGAGUUCUGCUGGAUCAAGCCAAAGCCCAUUUAGUCCAACACCCUACUCUCAAAGCGGCCAGUCAGAAGCCACAAUGGGAAAGUCCACAAGCAGGACUGAGGGCAGCCCUCCCAUGGUUCCCAACAACUGGUUUUCAGAGGCAUACUGCCUCCAACACAGUAGGUAGAACUUAGCCUGGAGGCUAGUAACUAUUGAUAGCUUGAGUGGGAGAGGAUAUCAAAAGACAGAUCAAGGGAAGGACCUUGGAUCUGGAUGAGGAAGAAAAGGAAAGAAGAGAAGAAAAGAAAAAGGAAGUCGUGGUGUACGUGGGGGGUGUCUUCUUCCAAAGUACUUGACCCACCCUGACAAUUUUCCAUGUCUAGUUUCCUCUGCUAACAAACUAACAAACUCCAAAUGACCCCAUUUAAAUUCUGAGGGGUCUUUGGCAAAGCACACACAGCCAUUUUGCGCCCAUCUUGUUUGCCCACCACGAGGAUCCCAGAGCAUAAUCCAUCUUUAAAUAUUAUGGGUCUAAUUUGACUGAGCAAUAUUUGUUCGCGCGUUGGCAGCUAAUGUAAGGAAAACAAAAAAGGGGGAAUCCCGGGAGUUGUACAGUUGGGAUCUGCGUGGCCGCAUUAACCUCGAGUCGCUUCCUGUAGUGGAGUCGGAGCUUAGGACUCAAGUGGCGCUUGACAGAUGUGUGUUAAAAAUGGAUAAACUAGGAAGGGAAGGUUUUGAAUUCUCGACACUCAUCUUAACCUUACGCUACUAGUAAAUCACAGUGUUCCAGAGGCCUCGUUUCAGAUAUCGCCUUACAAUAUAUUUUGCAUCUUUCUCCUCCUGCCCUCCACCCACUAAAAUGGAGCGUCAUGAUGAAUGGACACAGCAGGGUUUGGUGCGCUGUCUCAGUGAUCGCAACUGUACAGAGUACAAUCUAGUCUCCCAUUUUCACUUCUAGUGGAACCUUCAAUGAAGGCGUCUCCAAGUCUCCGGUGAUGCCCAAGAGUGUUUAGAUGGAGGGUCUAGAUGGAGACACCUAUUGAAAUGUGUCUGAAGAAGAUUAAUAGGACUUGUCAGUGUUGGGAAAAGCGCUGCUUUGCGGUAUUCCAAUUGAACUCCAUUUAUCAAGCGAUCAUGGAUUAAACAGUAACUCAGGGCUGACAAUGAAAAUGUUACCAGGAGGGCGGUGAAGAAUAGAUUGAAGAAAACCAAAAAUGCUGUUGUCGUGCUUUCCAGAUAUACGGAAAAUCUGGAACAAUUGAGGACGGAUGCAGAUUCUUGCAGCACAUCAGGAAACUUCUGAGGACCAACUUAGUUUGCCAUUCAUUGCCAGCUUCAAGAAUCCCAUGUUUUUGGAAACUGUGAACAAGUUUCCAGGGAGGGUGCAGGGAGGGAGAAUUCUGAACAUUUGCAGAGAGCAGCACAGCGCCAUAGUUAUUUAUUAAACCCUCCUAGCCUAGAAUGACCUCCUGACAUUGCACAGAGGAGCAAUUCCUAAAAGUACCCACAAUGGCUCAAACAUAUAUAGGUGAUCUAGGUAGCUCUGCCAGGGUGCCAAAAUUAGGAAGGGGCCAUAUCCCAAAGGCAGAACAUAUGUUUGGCAUGCAGAAAGUCUCCACUCCAGGCUCCUGACUUAAAUCAUGGGCAAGGGAGGGGGAAAUUUCUAUUGAGAGCUGCAUUCCCUCAGAGGUAAUCUAUUGGUAAGAGCAGGAAGCAAAAAAUGGAGCCAGAGCUAAACAUACCAUUUUUCUUUUCUCUUUUUGCUAACCUAGUCUCCCUCCACCCUCCCUCUCCCCAGCACUCUUUUUCCUCUCUCUUUCCCACCCAGGGAAGGGACAAAUUUCUCUUGCUGGAGCCUCAACUGAUUACUUGCAGAGACCUUAUUUAUUUGUUAUUUACACCAUGUGCAACAAUAGCUCUUAUUCUUUAUUAUGCUGUAUCUUUUAUUCUUUAUUUAACCUUUUCAGCAUGGGUGGUGCUGUGGUUUAAACCACAGAGCCAAGGGCUUGCCAAUCGGAAGGUCGGCGCUUCGAAUCCUCGCGACGGGGCCCUUUUCACUAAUAUAUGCAUUUUACGCACACUUUUCUCUAUAUGGAUUUUUGUGCACAUAACGUAGCUGGAGAACUGCAUUGCACGAUCUAGAGGACUGUGCAUUUUGAGGGUAACUGUUUUUCAGUUUGUGUAUUCUUUGGGGAAAAUAUGAAUUUUCACCUUUCAAUGCAAAUGGAAUCCAAUUCCUCCCCCCAUCCCUGUCCAGCUACCAUAGCAUUGCUAGAGGGUGUUACUUCUGUGGAUCCUCAACCCACAACCAUCUCCGUGUCUCAAAAGAGCAGAAAAGCUGCAUUACUGAUUUGAAAAGUAAAUUUCAAGGUUUCUUUUCUAUGUGGUUCCAAUGGGGGGGGGAGGUGUUAUCCAUCCAUCCCCCUUUUAGUUGAUUGUUAGACACCUUGAAUUAUUUGCAUGAUAAUGCCCCACUAUAAAUGGAUUAUAUUGUAACCUAUUGAGCUUUGUUGGUUUAAUGCUGACAAUGGCAUGAUUCGGAAGUAAGAUAGCAAAUGGACUCUUUAGAGAAAUUUCUUUUGAUAAGCAUGAGGCAAAGAAGUUGGGUGGACAGGGAAGAUAGAAGAGGCGUUGAAUGAGAAGAGUGGCGGUGAAAGGAGAGAAGGCUAUACGUGAAGCAGGGAGUGCUUUGCUAGGGAAAAAAACAACACAAAUCCAAAUUUUGCAUCCCUUUCCAGUUGUGAUGGAUUUGGAUACAGGAAAUUAAUGAAUAAUUGAAGUAUUUUUCAACAGGAUUAUGUACCUUUUCAGGGAGCAGAUUGGCCCUUUACCAGCUAUAGUAGCUAGCAAAGAAACAAAAUAGCUGGGCCAUCACUGCCGACAGGCCUUGUGCCCCUCAGCAACAUCCAAAGGCCCUGAUCCACUAGGUGCUGGGGUGGAUCGCACCCUGCACCUUGCAGAGUCAGGCUCAGGUUGCCAAUGGGCCCAGCACUGGCGGCAGCAACAAGCAACUGUAGCUCGCCCAGCCCUCCCCAUUGCCACUUCACCACUGCACUUAUCUGACCUGUGGGUUCUGGAUCACAGGCUCUACUGGUCAAAAUGGGAGCCUCAGCGAUCACCCUCUACCACCAGAAACAAACCAGGACUGCUCCAACAAAAUGCACAUGGCAAAAAGGAGCUCUAGUCCCUGGUGGGCUGCCCCCUUACCCACUUGUGAUUGGCCAAGUGGAUAGCCAGCCAAUCAGGAUUUCCCCCCCUUCACUUCUCACUUCCCUCUGUGGCCCACUAGACUCUUGCUGUGAACCCUCAUUAAUGCAUUUUCCUCCUGUGGCCCCCUCAUUUGGGGAGCACUAUUAGGGAAACUAUAGGGUUGCCCCCUAAACCUCAACCAACCCCAAUCUUCCUCCCUUCUUAUUUACAACCAGUCCAGAGUGUGAUGCUAAGUGUCAACUUUCUUUCCCCCCUUAGUCUCAAUGUUGUCUUCCUUGUAGAACUCAGCAGGAAGAAGGAUGGGGACAAAGAUAGCCUCACUUGGCUCUGCCUGUCAUUGGCCUUGGCACCACCUUGGGCUUCCUGUCUUCCACCUUACCAGUCCCAAUGGACACCAGGCACAGCUGCCUUCCAGCCCAACACUGGCCCAUUAAGACCUCCAACUGAUCCAACCAGGCAACCCUUUUGUGAUGUCUUAUUUAAGUUCCUAUUGCUAACGGUCCACAUUUUAUUUUCUCUUUGACUCUUUCUUCCUCUUGAUGAAUUGAGAAAUAUUGUCUUCAAAAGCACUUUGAUCAAUGUUUUCUAAAAAUAAAGCGAGGAAGUUUCUCUUGGAAAAAAAGAGUUGACAGAGGCCUUUGAAAUUGUGGAGUGGAACUAAACUAUUAGCCAACCUACUGUGCGCCAUCACGAGAAAGCCUGAUCCCAUUUAAGCCCCACUAUGCAUUGCCAGAACACUUUAAAGAGAACAUGGAACUCGGUGUUUUCUUAAGUCUAUGAAGCACAACAACACUAAAAAAAGUAUAUAUUUUUAAAAAUUGGCUUCUGUACAUUAUUCACUAAAUAAAGAACGUUGACAACAACACAGACUGAAAUCUC
Podarcis muralis (Common wall lizard) is the source of this 5572-nucleotide non-coding RNA. The record is from RefSeq and is a predicted model, not a curated record. NCBI's taxonomy places the organism in Eukaryota, Metazoa, Chordata, Lepidosauria, Squamata, Lacertidae.